AGGUCAGGCACGGAUCCACGACGAAGCGCCAUCCGGCCUCCGGAGCCGUGUGCGGAGGUUCGAAUCCUCCAGGGG
This 75-nucleotide transfer RNA is filed under the name Lipingzhangella halophila. RNAcentral's name for it is "tRNA-Arg". The record is from RNAcentral. Lineage: Bacteria; Bacillati; Actinomycetota; Actinomycetes; Streptosporangiales; Nocardiopsidaceae.